This is a long non-coding RNA of Aquila chrysaetos chrysaetos, 175 nucleotides long. RefSeq lists it as uncharacterized. The record is from RefSeq and is a predicted model, not a curated record. NCBI's taxonomy places the organism in Eukaryota, Metazoa, Chordata, Aves, Accipitriformes, Accipitridae. The transcript is spliced from 3 exons.
GGUUACUGGGGACCGGGAGUGUUUCUGAGCGCUGGACCGGCGGGACAAUGAAGAAACGAGCUAUUCCAGUGCUUCUACUGGCAGUGAUGACGGUGGCAGGCGUGAAUGGUGAAGAUCUGGAUGAUAAUGUCGUGGCAAAAAUGAUGGACAUUAAUAUAUUACCAGAAGGGAACGA